Molecule: ribosomal RNA, 252 nt
Filed under: uncultured bacterium
Lineage: Bacteria
Description: partial 16S ribosomal RNA
Rfam family: Bacterial small subunit ribosomal RNA
Source: RNAcentral
UACGGAGGAUGCGAGCGUUAUCCGGAUUUAUUGGGUUUAAAGGGUGCGUAGGCGGGAUGCCAAGUCAGCGGUAAAAAUGCGGUGCUCAACGCCGUCGAGCCGUUGAAACUGGCGUUCUUGAGUGGGCGAGGAGUAUGCGGAAUGCGUGGUGUAGCGGUGAAAUGCAUAGAUAUCACGCAGAACUCCGAUUGCGAAGGCAGCACACCGGCGCCCUACUGACGCUGAGGCACGAAAGCGUGGGUAUCGAACAGG